AGGCCAGCACCCCCACCCCCGACUUUAGGCACGGGUGUUGCCGCAGUUUAUUUAUGUCUUACAGCCCCCUGUGGAACAGGUCAAAGCUAGCAUUUCCAGAGAACCCAUCUGGAUUCCUCGUUUCUUCCCUGCCCCUCCAUUGUCCUCCUCCCUUCUCUUUCUCACAGAUUUCUCUUGAGAGCUCUUGCCCAGUGAAUCAUUUGUAUCUGAAUCCCUGUCUCCGGUUCUGCUUCUAGAGAGCCCAACCCAAGACAGUGGUGUUCCUUGGUGGCAUGUAAGACCAGAGUCGAUGUCUUUAUUUGCAAGGGGGUUGCAAAGUAAAAUCACAGCCACAGAAUUGUGAGGAAAUCUACCAUGGAUGUUUUUCAUGUCCUGGUGGCCAAAUUCCCUGUCUCAUGUGAAGUAAAGCAAUUCUGAUUCACACAGUUCUAACUUUGGCCUCCAGUAUCAGCGGCCUGACUCGUGGGCUGUUUCCUGAUUUUCUAAGUGCUAAAGGCCUUGAGGUUAUUAUUUUCUUCCAUAAACACUACGUGCCUGGCACUGAGUUAGAUGAAGGAGUUUCAGUGUGAAUAAGAUCGGCAGUCUGGAGGCUGAGUCCCGAUGAUCAAACCAUCAGUGGUCGUUUGCUCGAUCUCUGCUUGGGACAGUGUGGCUCUGAGUCAAGGCUCUGGGGCCAGAAAGCCUCGGUUCUAAAUCAAGGUUCAGGCUCUUCCCGGCAGUGUGGCUCUCCACGUGUGUUUGAACUUCAUGAACCUCGUUUUUUCUCCCCCUGGAAAACACACCUGCUUUGUCGGGCUGAUCUGAAGACUCAACCACUCAGUCUGGCAGGUGAUAAGAGCUGAGUAGGCGCUGGCAAUUAGUGUUGGCACAAGAGUCUUUGUCCCUGAAGAACUGUGCUUCGUCUGUUAGGGUGGCCACCGUUGCGGAUUCCUCACAAAUUGAGAAAUCGCCAUUGGACCAGGGGACAGAACAUCUGGGAGCUUUUUGAGAUAGAGUCAAUGUUUCAGACUUUGUCCUCCGGCAUUCUAGAGGCAUCUCUCCUGGGGCACUCAUCACCAGACUGGGUCACGGAGCAUCCUUCCCUAGCUUCCUGUGAACUUCAUGGACCACCCAGAGGGACUCAUAUAUAGAUAGUUACGACUCCAAGCGCAAAAAGACUCUUCCCACCAAAUGCACUUUAAAACAUCAACUCAUUGGUCAACGAGCCUGAGGACACUGACUGACCUUAGGCCAGAGAGGUGGCAGCCCGUAAGAGUCUGAAGAUUGUGGGUGUGGUUCCAGAAGGUCAUCAGCAUGUAGUCCUGAAACAGGCAAGGGCUGAGAAGUCUCUGUUCUAUGUCAUUAGAGCAUGAAGCCAGAUUCAGAUAACGCUGGCGUGAGCCAGAAAGAACAGGGGCAAACACUCUCGAGUCAGUGCAGCCCUUCCAGAAGAAGACUGUUCUCUGAGCCCUCAGUGUAGGGCGAGGAACCAGUUCCUGAGUGAGAGCCAGCGACUGUAGAACCUGUCACAUGGCUCAUGUCCUCCGAUGUCACCUCGCAUGUUAAAUUCUAUGCUUUUCCUCCAAAGGGAGGGGUCAGAUGCUCUGAAUAAAUCCUGCAUCAGUUAAGUCUCAAAUGAUAACCACACACCCUCAGUGGCUUUCUGAAACAGACAGUCCUUCCCUGACAGUUGAAAUCAAGCAUUUAUACUCACAGGAGGCAACACCGUGUAAGCUGCCCUCAGAUAGUAAGGACAUUUAUUCUGGCUCUGUAUUUCAUUUGGCACAUUUCCCUAAUGCCCUAAUGCACCUAGCUGUGCAUUCUCCUAGGUGGUCUUUCGAACACACACGGUCCUGGACAAAUCUACCGGAUGAGGCCCAAGCAUUAUUGUUAAUAUUUUUAAAAACUACAAACAGCAGCACAAACCCUUCCCAGAAAAAAAGGGGGGGGAUGAUAUUCAUAUGGCUUGUGCACAAGCCACUAUAUAUCAUUAGUAUUUGUGCCAUUUCUAAUAACAGUGACUUCCUGAUACUUUGACAUUUGCCGGGUAACCAUCUCAAAGUUUCCUCCCCCAGAUGGUUGAACAGGAUCUCAAAAUCCAGGUGUUCUAAAGGGUGAACUGCAGAUUUUUGGAUCAUGAUUCCCAAUAAGGUAUUAAUCUUACGCGGUAAUUCAGGAUACCUAUUUUUAUCGAAAGUUGUUGCAGGAAGUGUUAGGAAGCAGUACUUUUCGCAUUUGAUAGUUGCUUAUUUUAUUCAUUUCUCUUUUGCCCUCCAUUCCAUUCCGUUCCACUUUAUUCAUUCCAAAAGGGUUUUUUUUUUUUGAAAAAUCACUAACUUUAGGGGGUGACUUGUAAUUUUGAAGUCAUUGGUCUUUUUCUUCUCCCAGUAUGGUCUUCGCUUCUAUACACAUGUUAAGCUGUACUAAGUGAAGGAAUAAGGGAGAGCAAGACGCAAAUAGAAACUCAAGCCUGGCCAAUAAUACCCGGUCUGGACUUACAAAUGUGUUGGUGAGCUGAACGCUUCCUUCUAACACUCCAGUAGAUUUUAGAUUUCCCUUUGGGCUGUAAUGACCAGACAGUAAUCAACUCUAUGGUAAAUGUGAAUGGUCAUGAUCUCCCUAGCUGGGCAGGAGAAUACAUCUGGCUACUCUUUGAGGAUAUAAUAUUUAAAAUGUAGGAUUAUCAUUCUGAUUUAUGGGCACCGGUUGAGGAUGAUGGGGUAUGGGAGCCUACACAGGGAGAUGACGGAUUGGCUUAUCUGCUCAAGGACAUGGUAAAAGCGAUCCUCUUAAUGCUUUGAUUCAGGCUGUUAUGUGGGUCCCUUGUGUCUGUGUGCCUCCGAUGUGUUUUGCAGAAUGUUCUCACAUCAGU
RNA transcript from Acinonyx jubatus (cheetah), 2851 nucleotides. RefSeq lists it as uncharacterized. The transcript has 3 exons. NCBI's taxonomy places the organism in Eukaryota, Metazoa, Chordata, Mammalia, Carnivora, Felidae. The record is from RefSeq and is a predicted model, not a curated record.